RNAcentral lists this ribosomal RNA (275 nucleotides) under uncultured bacterium. RNAcentral's name for it is "partial 16S ribosomal RNA". It matches the Rfam family "Bacterial small subunit ribosomal RNA", at positions 338 to 605 of the family's 1533-position model. The record is from RNAcentral.
CCUACGGGAGGCAGCAGUGGGGAAUUUUGGACAAUGGGGGCAACCCUGAUCCAGCCAUUUCGCGUGUGCGAUGAAGGCCUUCGGGUUGUAAAGCACUUUUGGCAGGGAAGAAAAGGAUUGGGCUAAUACCCUGAUUCGCUGACGGUACCUGCAGAAUAAGCACCGGCUAACUACGUGCCAGCAGCCGCGGUAAUACGUAGGGUGCAAGCGUUAAUCGGAAUUACUGGGCGUAAAGCGUGCGCAGGCGGUUCGGAAAGAAGGAUGUGAAAUCCCAG